This 464-nucleotide ribosomal RNA is filed under the name uncultured bacterium. Its description in RNAcentral is "partial 16S ribosomal RNA". It matches the Rfam family "Bacterial small subunit ribosomal RNA", at positions 28 to 507 of the family's 1533-position model. The record is from RNAcentral.
GACGAACGCUGGCGGCGUGCUUAACACAUGCAAGUCGAACGGAAAGGCCCCUUUGGGGGUACUCGAGUGGCGCACGGGUGAGUAACACGUGAGUAACCUGCCCUUGACUUCGGGAUAACUUCAGGAAACUGGGGCUAAUACCGGAUAGGAAUCCUUGCUGCAUGGUGGGGGUUGGAAAGCUUCGGCGGUUUUGGAUGGACUCGCGGCUUAUCAGCUUGUUGGUGGGGUAGUGGCUUACCAAGGCUUUGACGGGUAGCCGGCCUGAGAGGGCGACCGGCCAAGGGGGGACGGAGGGACGGGCGGGACAGCGACGGGGGGCAGAGGUGGGGAGGAGGACGCAGUGGGCGGAGGCGUGACGCGGGGGCGCCGGGUGGGGGAUGGCGGCUUUCGGGGCGUAAACCGCUUGCAGCAGGGACGAAGGGCAAGUGACGGGACCUGAAGAAGAAGCACCGGCCAACUACGUG